This 2199-nucleotide long non-coding RNA is filed under the name Homo sapiens (human). Its description in RNAcentral is "HSALNT0226920". The record is from RNAcentral. Lineage: Eukaryota; Metazoa; Chordata; Mammalia; Primates; Hominidae.
AUAUUUAAAAAGAAGAUCUGGAAAAUAUGUAUAGCAUGGUGUAUACAUAUAAUUAGCCCAUAUAGGUACAUGAAGUUCCUCAGGAGACUGGGAGGAUGCACAGCCAGGUAAACCUGUAGAGCAUGGAGACAUUAGGUGGGAGGUGAUGGAAAAGUCCCUCAGUUUUUUUUUUUUUUGAGACAGUCUCGCUCUGUUGCCCAGGCUGGAGUGCAGUGGCAUGAUCUCAGCUCACUGCAACCUUCACUUCCUAGGUUCAAGCGAUUCUCCUACCUCAACCUACCAAGUAGCUGGGAUUACAGGCGCCCGCCACCACGCUCAGCUAAUUUUGGUAGUUUUAGUAGAGAUGGGGUUUCACCAUGUUGGCCAGGCUGGUCUUGAACUCCUGACCUCAAGUGAUCCUCCCCGCCUUGGCCUCCCGAAGUGCUGGGAUUACAGGUGUGAACCACUGUGCCCAGACCUUCAUUUUGUUUGUAUACAUCUGUAUUCAUUGAAUCUUCUACAAGGUUUAUUUAUUCAUGUAUGCCUAUUGUUCCGGUUAUCUAUUGUUGCAUGAAAAACACCCCAAAACUUAAUAGUGUAAAACAGCAGCCCCUUUAUUAUGCUCACAACUUGGUGGUCAGAUUUCAAGCAAGACCCAGAGGCACAACUCAUCUCGUUCCACAGUGGCUGGAGCUUCAGCUGAGGUGGCUCAAAUGGCUGGAGAACACUUCCCUGCAGCAGAACCUACAACCAUCUUCCUCCCCUUUCUGGAAAAGGUUUGUUUCUGAGGCUGGAGUCAGAGUCUUCAAACCAACAGCCAGAGAUAACAUUGCUAAUUAUGCCCCUUUCCUUGGUCUUUAUUUGAAAUGAAACGGUUCUGUUACCGGUAGAGGGUCUUGAUGCAAAUUGUCCAGGUUCUUGGCAUUUUGAACAAAGAACUGGACAAAACGCACAGCAAAGCAAGGUAAGAAUGAAGCAGCAAAAGCAGAGAUUUAUUGAAAGUACAUGCCACAGUGUGGGAGCCGGCCAAGCAGCAGCUUAAACACCCCCUAGAGGUUUCCCAUUGGCCACUUGGUGUUCACCCCAUGUAAAUGAACCAACCUCAGUCAGUCUGAUUGGUUGCAACCAAUCAGAGGCUGAAGUGAAGUUACAAAGUUACACUCCUGUGCAAACGUCUGAUUGCAAAAAGCAGCCAGUCAGAGGUACCUUCAAUUUCCCAUCUGCCCCUCAGAAAAGGUGGGCAUUGGCAAAGGGAGUAGCCUCUGGUCCUUUUGUUACUUAUGCGUGGAAAGUUGGGGUUUUUCUUUCGAUUUAGUUCUAGGAAGUCAAGGUGAACUGGCCUUCAGUUCCCUGCCUCCAGACCCUAUUCUGCCUCAGUUCAAAUACACAAAACCUAACAAAUACCUAUAUGACCACCUUCCACAACUAAUCAAUGGCAGUGUCUAUUAGUUUGACUUUGUUUCUAUUUUACAAGAAGCAAAAGCACCUCUGGACUCUCCACUAGAGAGCUAUGUGCAGCCACUCCAGCAUGGUGCUCUCAGGGUAACCAGACUUCUUACACUAGCUCCAAGUGCAAGUUCUCCUAGCAAACAAGAUAGAGGUUGCAAGGCCUUUUAUGACCUCACCCUGGAGGUCACACCACAUCUGUAUUUCAUUGUAUUUCAUUGGUAGCAGUCACAAGCUGCCCAGAUACAAGGCAGAGGGACAGAUGCCCCACUUCUUGAUGGGAUGAGUGGCAAAAAAAAAUCUGUGACCAUGUUUAAAACCCAGAAGAUUUGGCUGUUAGAGAUUUGUGAAGUUUUUAAAAGUUAAGAAUUAUUAAAACAAAAAUAAAACCCAGGAGACAAGGUAGUGGAAGUGUGUCCCUCCCAUUCACUGACCAAGGUGAGGGGACUCUAGUCCUUUGCUGCUGACCUUCAGCCUCCCUUCCUCUUAAAAAGAGGUCCUAGUUGGGGAGCGAUGGCUGAAGAGUUACCAUAAAAUACCAAGUAGGAGCGAGGUGCGGUGGCUCACGUCUUUAAUCCCAGCAGUUUGGGAGGACAAGGUGGGAGGAUCGCAUGAGCCCAGGAGUUCAAGACAAACCUGGGCAACAUAGCAAGGCUCUGUCUCUACAAAAAAGGAAAAGAGUACAAAGUAGGGCCAUUUAGUAUGGUUUCAUCUUUAUUAAAAGUCUUAAGUUUUAGAUUUUUGAAGUUAUCACCAAUAAAAUAUCCAGUUGUG